AUGAACGCUGGCGGCGUGCCUAAUCCAUGCAAGUCGAGCGAACAGACGAGGAGCUUGCUCCUCUGACGUUAGCGGCGGACGGGUGAGUAACACGUGGAUAACCUACCUAUAAGACUGGGAUAACUUCGGGAAACCGGAGCUAAUACCGGAUAAUAUAUUGAACCGCAUGGUUCAAUAGUGAAAGACGGUUUUGCUGUCACUUAUAGAUGGAUCCGCGCCGCAUUAGCUAGUUGGUAAGGUAACGGCUUACCAAGGCAGCGAUGCGUAGCCGACCUGAGAGGGUGAUCGGCCACACUGGAACUGAGACACGGUCCAGACUCCUACGGGAGGCAGCAGUAGGGAAUCUUCCGCAAUGGGCGAAAGCCUGACGGAGCAACGCCGCGUGAGUGAUGAAGGUCUUCGGAUCGUAAAACUCUGUUAUUAGGGAAGAACAAAUGUGUAAGUAACUAUGCACGUCUUGACGGUACCUAAUCAGAAAGCCACGGCUAACUACGUG
RNAcentral lists this ribosomal RNA (496 nucleotides) under uncultured bacterium. RNAcentral describes it as "partial 16S ribosomal RNA". It matches the Rfam family "Bacterial small subunit ribosomal RNA", at positions 29 to 507 of the family's 1533-position model. The record is from RNAcentral.